GGGGACAUCUACAUUAAGGGUGAUGAUUCUUGUGUGUUAAAUAUGCUCAUUAUUUAUUAUUUAAUGCUCUACAUUAUUUAUGUCACAUUUGAUCAUGAGAUUGUGGGAGCUAUAUAAUCUAGUUGCUAUACUUGUGGAGUUCGACAUGGACUCACUCUUGCUAUUUCCCCCACCUCAGGAGGAGUUUAGACUUGUGAUGAACCAGUCAGUUGGAUCCUGUAGAGUAGAGUUAAUACCCGAAGUUGGAGUUACUCUCGUUGUUUG
RNAcentral lists this long non-coding RNA (264 nucleotides) under Sorghum bicolor (sorghum). RNAcentral describes it as "long non-coding RNA (SBIC_LNC018267)". The record is from RNAcentral. Lineage: Eukaryota; Viridiplantae; Streptophyta; Magnoliopsida; Poales; Poaceae.